RNAcentral lists this ribosomal RNA (504 nucleotides) under uncultured bacterium. RNAcentral's name for it is "bacterial SSU rRNA". It matches the Rfam family "Bacterial small subunit ribosomal RNA", at positions 28 to 517 of the family's 1533-position model. The record is from RNAcentral.
GAUGAACGCUAGCGGCAGGCUUAACACAUGCAAGUCGAGGGGCAGCAUGACACGGAGAUUCGUCGAAGUGUUGAUGGCGACCGGCGCAAGGGUGCGUAACGCGUGAGCAACUUGCCCGUUUCUGGGGCAUAACCGGUGGAAACGCCGACUAAUACCCCAUAGUAUUGGAUUUAGGCAUCUUUAUCCAAUUAAAGAAAUUCGGAAACGGAUAGGCUCGCGUGACAUUAGCUAGAUGGCGGGGUAACGGCCCACCAUGGCGACGAUGUCUAGGGGUUCUGAGAGGAAGGUCCCCCACACUGGAACUGAGACACGGUCCAGACUCCUACGGGAGGCAGCAGUGAGGAAUAUUGGUCAAUGGUCGGAAGACUGAACCAGCCAUGCCGCGUGAAGGUCACGGCCCUAUGGGUCUUAAACUUCUUUUGUAAGGGGAGCCAAUAAAGGUUCACGUGUGGACUGAUGAGAGUACCUUACGAAUAAGCAUCGGCUAAUCCGUGCCAGCAGCCG